This 448-nucleotide ribosomal RNA is filed under the name uncultured bacterium. Its description in RNAcentral is "bacterial SSU rRNA". It matches the Rfam family "Bacterial small subunit ribosomal RNA", at positions 29 to 524 of the family's 1533-position model. The record is from RNAcentral.
AGCGAACGCUGGCGGCAGGCCUAACACAUGCAAGUCGAGCGCCCAGCAAUGGGAGCGGCAGACGGGAUAGUAACACGUGGGAACGUACCUUUCAGUUCGGAACAACCCAGGGAAACUUGGGCUAAUACCGAAUACGUCCGUAAGGAGAAAGAUUUAUCGCUGAAAGAUCGGCCCGCGUCUGAUUAGCUAGUUGGUGAGGUAAUGGCUCACCAAGGCGACGAUCAGUAGCNGGUCUGAGAGGAUGAUCAGCAUCACUGGGACUGAGACACGGCCCAGACUCCUACGGGAGGCAGCAGUGGGGAAUAUUGGACAAUGGGCGCAAGCCUGAUCCAGCCAUGCCGCGUGGAUGAUGAAGGCCUUAGGGUUGUAAAGUCCCUUCGGCGGGGAAGAUAAUGACGGUACCCGCAGAAGAAGCCCCGGCUAACUUCGUGCCAGCCGCCGCGGUAAC